This is a long non-coding RNA of Callithrix jacchus (white-tufted-ear marmoset), 1472 nucleotides long. RefSeq lists it as uncharacterized. NCBI's taxonomy places the organism in Eukaryota, Metazoa, Chordata, Mammalia, Primates, Cebidae. The record is from RefSeq and is a predicted model, not a curated record.
GCUGGCGGCUUCUAUUUUUAUUACGCGUGCUCCUCUCCCGGGAGGAGGAGGGGGCGAGGCUGGAGCGAUGCCUCGAGGGCGGAGCCCCCAGAGAUGCAGCCUCUUCAUUGCGCUUUUAUUCCAGCCCCUCCCAGCCCCGUGUCUGGGCCCUUUGAGGCUCCCCAAGGCCUAAGCCAACAGGGAUGUUUGCAGUGACCAGGUGUGCUUGUCUCGGCUGGUCACAGGGUCGCAGCCCAGUACCCUGGAAGAGGAACCCAGGAUCAAAUGGAUUAGGACAACCACCGGGGGAGGGGCCGGCCCUACGGAGGAAAUGAAAAUAGUUGCAGUUUCAUUUGCUUUAAGCACGGCCCUCGUAAUAAAUGCACACAGCAAAUGUGCUGAGCAAACACCUCGGCAUUCAUCAAUAUGCGGGGGCUGUUUAUUGCCUCAUAAACUUGGAAGCAAGUGAUAUUGUCUCCUAAAUCAAUGGCUGCGCGGACAGCCUUGGGGCUCCAGAACUGCUCGGCCAGGCCGCGCCCGCGCUGAAAUUAAUGGCUAGAGCACUGACUGCAAGGUGCUUAGUCACUGCCGAGGGGAUUAGGAUCCAUUCCAGGGGACAGCAGCCAACGUGUUCUGUGCAGCAGGAGGAGGAACUGUCAGGCAAGAAGACAGAGAAAAUCUAGAUUCCUGCCUCUGCUUGCGAGGGACGCUUGCUUUCCUCUUCUAUGCUCACAGAAUCGCAGCCUUGGGCGAUUAAUCCUGAUAACACCAAGAGAGACCCGAAUACUUGCUGUAUCAUUUAAUGACUCUUGGCAGAAAGGAAAAACACUUCACUUGAACACGGUAUUUUAAAAAUAGGUAUUUUACUAACUUUCAUGGGAAAUUUAACUAUUUGAUGAAAUGCCUUUGUAUAUUACUUGGCUGAUUUUCAUUUGUACUUAACAAUUUGUCUUAAAGAUGAUACAUGAAAAUGAGAUGAAAAUAUACAAUGUUCCCCAUAAACCAAACCUAGGAGAGAUGAAGUGUUGCCCCAGUGAAACUGCUGAAUUCAAUGAAUUUUAAUUACUUUUUGUCCCCACAGGCUCCCCCGCCCCCACCUUAAUUUCUUCUAUUUUCCUGUUAGGUUGCAAUCAUUAAUUUCAAGUUUGGUCCCAUACUAUCCAUGAAAUGAAACAAAAUGUGUGACAGCCGAGAUGAUUCAGUGCCACCUUUGACUAAGCAGGCAAGCGUCCUUUUCAAUGCCAGCCUAUGCCCGUGCCCUGGUGGGAAGGUGGUGGGGAUGGCCCAUGGCCCUCUCAGGAGCCGCCCGCUUCCACGCCCUUAGACCACAGUCCUCCUAGUGAUGGGCUGCCCGCCGUCUCAGGAGGCAGCUCCUGUCCCCUACUUUCAACUCUCAGGUUGUCCGGAAACCACACUCUUGACUCUGAACAUAUCAGCAGCCCAUGGAUUCCUUUUCACAGGGCAGCAGUAACUUACCAGGAUACAUGUUUUCC